UUUGGAGGGCAAGUCUGGUGCCAGCAGCCGCGGUAAUUCCAGCUCCAAUAGCGUAUAUUAAAGUUGUUGCAGUUAAAAAGCUCGUAGUUGAAUUUCGAGAUCAAUAUGUUGGUCGUGCUUAUGUGCGUACUGGCAUUAUUGAUUUCUCCCUUCUGAUGAACCAUGAUGCCAUUAAUUUGGUGUUAUGGGGAAUCAGGACUGUUACUUUGAAAAAAUUAGAGUG
Molecule: ribosomal RNA, 223 nt
Filed under: Glomeraceae sp.
Lineage: Eukaryota; Fungi; Glomeromycota; Glomeromycetes; Glomerales; Glomeraceae
Description: partial small subunit ribosomal RNA
Rfam family: Eukaryotic small subunit ribosomal RNA
Source: RNAcentral